UCCCCUCCUGGGAAAGUGACCCGGUCUACCACCGGGAUGUUCAUAACCCUUUGUUGUCCGACUCUGUUGCCUCCGGGGCGACCCUGCCUUCGGGCGGGGGCUCCGGGUGGACACUUCAAACUCUUGCGUAACUUUGCAGUCUGAGUAAACUUAAUUAAUAAAUUAAAACUUUUAACAACGGAUCUCUUGGUUCUGGCAUCGAUGAAGAACGCAGCGAAAUGCGAUAAGUAAUGUGAAUUGCAGAAUUCAUGAAUCAUCGAAUCUUUGAACGCACAUUGCGCCCCCUGGUAUUCCGGGGGGCAUGCCUGUUCGAGCGUCAUUUCACCACUCAAGCCUCGCUUGGUAUUGGGCAUCGCGGUCCGCCGCGUGCCUCAAAUCGACCGGCUGGGUCUUCUGUCCCCUAAGCGUUGUGGAAACUAUUCGCUAAAGGGUGUUCGGGAGGCUACGCCGUAAAACAACCCCAUUUCUAAGGUUGACCUCGGAUCAGGUAGGGAUACCCGCUGAACUUAAGCAUAUCAAUAAGCGGAGGAACUCC
This 535-nucleotide ribosomal RNA is filed under the name Cladosporium sp. QLF108. RNAcentral's name for it is "eukaryotic LSU rRNA". The stretch from base 167 to 319 matches the Rfam family "5.8S ribosomal RNA". Lineage: Eukaryota; Fungi; Ascomycota; Dothideomycetes; Cladosporiales; Cladosporiaceae. The record is from RNAcentral.